Molecule: ribosomal RNA, 1343 nt
Filed under: uncultured bacterium
Lineage: Bacteria
Description: 16S ribosomal RNA
Rfam family: Bacterial small subunit ribosomal RNA
Source: RNAcentral
GACGAACGCUGGCGGCGUGCUUAACACAUGCAAGUCGAACGGAAAGGCCCUGCUUUUGUGGGGUGCUCGAGUGGCGAACGGGUGAGUAACACGUGAGUAACCUGCCCUUGACUUUGGGAUAACUUCAGGAAACUGGGGCUAAUACCGGAUAGGAGCUCCUGCUGCAUGGUGGGGGUUGGAAAGUUUCGGCGGUUGGGGAUGGACUCGCGGCUUAUCAGCUUGUUGGUGGGGUAGUGGCUUACCAAGGCUUUGACGGGUAGCCGGCCUGAGAGGGUGACCGGCCACAUUGGGACUGAGAUACGGCCCAGACUCCUACGGGAGGCAGCAGUGGGGAAUAUUGCACAAUGGGCGGAAGCCUGAUGCAGCAACGCCGCGUGCGGGAUGACGGCCUUCGGGUUGUAAACCGCUUUCGCCUGUGACGAAGCGUGAGUGACGGUAAUGGGUAAAGAAGCACCGGCUAACUACGUGCCAGCAGCCGCGGUGAUACGUAGGGUGCGAGCGUUGUCCGGAUUUAUUGGGCGUAAAGGGCUCGUAGGUGGUUGAUCGCGUCGGAAGUGUAAUCUUGGGGCUUAACCCUGAGCGUGCUUUCGAUACGGGUUGACUUGAGGAAGGUAGGGGAGAAUGGAAUUCCUGGUGGAGCGGUGGAAUGCGCAGAUAUCAGGAGGAACACCAGUGGCGAAGGCGGUUCUCUGGGCCUUUCCUGACGCUGAGGAGCGAAAGCGUGGGGAGCGAACAGGCUUAGAUACCCUGGUAGUCCACGCUGUAAACGGUGGGUACUAGGUGUGGGGUCCAUUCCACGGGUUCCGUGCCGUAGCUAACGCUUUAAGUACCCCGCCUGGGGAGUACGGCCGCAAGGCUAAAACUCAAAGGAAUUGACGGGGCCCCGCACAAGCGGCGGAGCAUGCGGAUUAAUUCGAUGCAACGCGUAGAACCUUACCUGGGUUUGACAUGGAUCGGGAGCGCUCAGAGAUGGGUGUGCCUCUUUUGGGGUCGGUUCACAGGUGGUGCAUGGCUGUCGUCAGCUCGUGUCGUGAGAUGUUGGGUUAAGUCCCGCAACGAGCGCAACCCUUGUUCACUGUUGCCAGCACGUUAUGGUGGGGACUCAGUGGAGACCGCCGGGGUCAACUCGGAGGAAGGUGGGGAUGACGUCAAGUCGUCAUGCCCCUUAUGUCCAGGGCUUCACGCAUGCUACAAUGGCUGGUACAGAGAGUGGCGAGCCUGUGAGGGUGAGCGAAUCUCGGAAAGCCGGUCUCAGUUCGGAUUGGGGUCUGCAACUCGACCUCAUGAAGUCGGAGUCGCUAGUAAUCGCAGAUCAGCAACGCUGCGGUGAAUACGUUCCCGGG